This 1436-nucleotide long non-coding RNA is filed under the name Bemisia tabaci. Its description in RNAcentral is "lncRNA ENSSSA2NGG003986". The record is from RNAcentral. Lineage: Eukaryota; Metazoa; Arthropoda; Insecta; Hemiptera; Aleyrodidae.
UACUGAUGUGCGAGUGUUUCGGUAACAAUUCAUGGAACAGGUUUUUGUCCUCUUCAUAUCAGCAUAGUUUUGAUGCUGUAUGCUUCCUGCCUCUUCAAAGGAUGGUUACAUGAAGUUAUUGGCAGUUGGUUACUUGCUGAAGUUAGUCGCGGUGUUACACGUUACGCGGUUUGGCCCUGGAUUAAAUAAAGUGCCGUUCCGGGGAUUGAUAAUGCAGAUUUUGACCAAGAUGGCACCGUCUAACGUGAUAAACACGGCGGCUCGACUUCUGUUCGGGCCGGAAUCGGUGGCUCCUCUUUCGAGGAGCAGAAAGUUGGCAGAGCGAUAGCGGAACCGGGGAAGAAAGCAGCGGUGAAACCGACCCAGGAACCACCGCCCGUGAUCGAGGAGCCAACGGCAGACAACCCAAAGCCGAAGAAAGAAGAUGCGGAUGCCUACAGAGUCAGGAUAGUUUGGAGGAACGUCAUGCUCUUCGCCUACCUCCACCUGGGAGCUAUCUACGGCUUCUACUUGAUUUUCACAUCCGCCAAGAUCCAGACGUCUAUUUUCGGUGAGUUCCUACGCGCUUUUACGCCGCACAAUGGACCGAAUCGAGAGAAGAGGUCGGACAUAAUAUUACAUAGAGUACAUAGAGUCGUAAUGUAAGUGGGAGAGCUGGCGCCAUGUUCUGCUCGACGAGUUCCGAGCCAGGUCACUCGAGGUCACUUUUUCGAUACAUAUUCGAUCCAAAAUGGCGGUGGAAUAUGGCCGGGUCCCCCCUGUAUCGCAAACAAUCGAUUAUGUAUCGAAGAAGGGGCCCGGCGCCGCACAGGAAUCUCGGAAUUCGGGACCUGGAAAAUGCUUAAAAGUGGCGCCAGCUCUCCCACUUACAUUUAACGACUCUAUGUACAUACUCUAUGAAAUAUUAUUACUAAAACUGCAAAUUCAGAUGUUUAUCUCGUCAAAUUUUAAAUUUUGAGGGGUGACUCUGGAAGAAAAUUUUACGAAAAAACCAAUGGGACCAUUUUUAAGACCUCCAAAUUUUGUAAAAAUUGAGUUAUGAGCUUUUGAAGUUUCCAAAUUUCGUCCGACCUCCUCAUUGACUCGAUCCACUGUGCGCGUGUGCGCCGUUACGCUUUGAAGUAAUGGCACCAGAGGCGAAUCCAGCAAUUUGGCAACACCGAAUUCCCUCCAUCGAAACUUAUGCUGAAUAAUCGAUCCCUGUCGAAGUAUCUGGCCCCUCCAAGAAUCGAUACAUUUCCGUUUAAAUGGAGGAAAUCCGGUGUUGCCAAAUUGCUGGAUCCGCCGAUGAAUGACACGGAGGGUAUGAUCAUCGAUGUGUCGCUUGCUGAUUACAUAUGAUCACAAAAAUUUGGCUCUAGUUGAGUUUUUACAGCAGUUACAGCCGUAAGAAACCAAACAAGAUGACCGCUGGACGCAACCCUUUUCCUUGGCCA